UUGGAGGGCAAGUCUGGUGCCCGCAGCCGCGGUAAUUCCAGCUCCAAUAGCGUAUAUUAAAGUUGUUGCAGUUAAAAAGCUCGUAGUUGAAUUUCGGGGUUAGUAGGUUGGUCAUGCCUCUGGUAUGUACUGGUCUCACUGAUUCCUCCUUCCUUAUGAACCGUAAUGCCAUUAAUUUGGUGUUGCGGGGAAUUUGGACUGUUACUUUGAAAAAAUUAGAGUGUUUAAAGCAAGCUAACGCUUGAAUACAUUAGCAUGGAAUAAUGAAAUAGGACGUUCG
This 280-nucleotide ribosomal RNA is filed under the name uncultured Glomus. RNAcentral's name for it is "partial 18S ribosomal RNA". It matches the Rfam family "Eukaryotic small subunit ribosomal RNA", at positions 548 to 833 of the family's 1831-position model. The record is from RNAcentral. Lineage: Eukaryota; Fungi; Glomeromycota; Glomeromycetes; Glomerales; Glomeraceae.